GUCGAGGGGCAGCAUGGAAGUUUGCUUGCAACUUCCGAUGGCGACCGGCGCACGGGUGAGUAACACGUAUCCAACCUGCCGAUAACUCGGGGAUAGCCUUUCGAAAGAAAGAUUAAUAUCCGAUAGCAUAUCAAGGUCGCAUGAUCUUGAUAUUAAAGAAUUUCGGUUAUCGAUGGGGAUGCGUUCCAUUAGUUAGUUGGCGGGGUAACGGCCCACCAAGACGACGAUGGAUAGGGGUUCUGAGAGGAAGGUCCCCCACAUUGGAACUGAGACACGGUCCAAACUCCUACGGGAGGCAGCAGUGAGGAAUAUUGGUCAAUGGACGAGAGUCUGAACCAGCCAAGUAGCGUGAAGGAUGACUGCCCUAUGGGUUGUAAACUUCUUUUAUAUGGGAAUAAAACAGGGUAUGCAUACCCUCUUGUAUGUACCAUAUGAAUAAGGAUCGGCUAACUCCGUGCCAGCAGCCGCGGUAAUACGGAGGAUCCGAGCGUUAUCCGGAUUUAUUGGGUUUAAAGGGAGCGUGGGUGGAUUGUUAAGUCAGUUGUGAAAGUUUGCGGCUCAACCGUAAAAUUGCAGUUGAAACUGGCAGUCUUGAGUACAGUAGAGGUGGGCGGAAUUCGUGGUGUAGCGGUGAAAUGCUUAGAUAUCACGAAGAACUCCGAUCGCGAAGGCAGCUCACUGGACUGCAACUGACACUGAUGCUCGAAAGUGUGGGUAUCAAACAGGAUUAGAUACCCUGGUAGUCCACACAGUAAACGAUGAAUACUCGCUGUUUGCGAUAUACAGUAAGCGGCCAAGCGAAAGCAU
Molecule: ribosomal RNA, 807 nt
Filed under: uncultured bacterium
Lineage: Bacteria
Description: bacterial SSU rRNA
Rfam family: Bacterial small subunit ribosomal RNA
Source: RNAcentral